AGCGAACGCUGGCGGCAGGCUUAACACAUGCAAGUCGAGCGGGCCUUUCGGGGUCAGCGGCGGACGGGUGAGUAACGCGUGGGAACGUGCCCUCUGGUUCGGAAUAACUCAGGGAAACUUGAGCUAAUACCGGAUACGCCCUUUUGGGGAAAGGCUUGCUGCCGGAGGAUCGGCCCGCGUCUGAUUAGCUAGUUGGUGAGGUAACGGCUCACCAAGGCGACGAUCAGUAGCUGGUCUGAGAGGAUGAUCAGCCACACUGGGACUGAGACACGGCCCAGACUCCUAUGGGAGGCAGCAGUGGGGAAUAUUGGACAAUGGGCGCAAGCCUGAUCCAGCCAUGCCGCGUGAGUGAUGAAGGCCUUAGGGUUGUAAAGCUCUUUUAUCCGGGACGAUAAUGACGGUACCGGAGGAAUAAGCCCCGGCUAACUUCGUG
This 433-nucleotide ribosomal RNA is filed under the name uncultured bacterium. Its description in RNAcentral is "partial 16S ribosomal RNA". It matches the Rfam family "Bacterial small subunit ribosomal RNA", at positions 29 to 507 of the family's 1533-position model. The record is from RNAcentral.